This 62-nucleotide transfer RNA is filed under the name Georissidae sp. BMNH 840458. RNAcentral's name for it is "tRNA-Ile". Lineage: Eukaryota; Metazoa; Arthropoda; Insecta; Coleoptera; Georissidae. The record is from RNAcentral.
AAUGAAGUGCCUGAUAAAAGGAUAACUUUGAUAGAGUUAAUUAUGUAAUUUUACCUUCAUUA